GCCAGCCCCACGGGAGCUCUUCUUAGCCCACCCGCCACAACCCUUUGUCUUCCCUGCGAGGCACAUCUUCCUCCUGCCAGGGGACAAUCUGCCUGCGUGAAGCGUUAAAUCCCAAGAAGUGGGAAAAACGAAGACAGCAAAACAAAAGCGUUUCCACCGUGCCACCUACAGUGCUCAGAGCUGGGCCCAAGCUAUUUUAAAACGAAUGUCACGCGGGAAGGAAGCUCCGUGGUGAUGUUCACACCCCAUGUGCCUGCAGAAUCAAGAGUCCCAUCUCUUCAGCACCCAGGUCUCCAAUGGCAGGUGCAUGGAUUUGGAGGAGGGGGAGAGGAAGAAGGAGAGAGAGAGAGAGAGAGGAGAGACUACACUCAGGUUGACAGCACAGUGCCAGGAAGUAGAGACAACCCAAUUGCCCGCUCUGAAUUAGCGCCAACUGGUCAACAAUCCACAGCAGCACAGCCAGUGAAGAGACGUGACUGUCGCCUUGCAAACAGGCCAGAGCCCUUCACCGUAGCCUCUGGUGACACAUUUCCCCGCUCCUGGCUUGGGUCUUAAUUGCCGACAUGAACUGAGCCCCAAUUACCGGGAGCACUUGAAAGGCAUUAUUGUGUCCCCUGAUGUCACCUAAGCCCCCCCCCCCCCCCCCCCCCGU
Long non-coding RNA from Alexandromys fortis (reed vole), 652 nucleotides. RefSeq lists it as uncharacterized. Lineage: Eukaryota; Metazoa; Chordata; Mammalia; Rodentia; Cricetidae. The record is from RefSeq and is a predicted model, not a curated record. The transcript has 4 exons.